Sus scrofa (pig) is the source of this 2176-nucleotide non-coding RNA. Lineage: Eukaryota; Metazoa; Chordata; Mammalia; Artiodactyla; Suidae. The record is from RefSeq and is a predicted model, not a curated record.
ACUCACAAUCCAGUGUUGCCAUAGUGGCUGUGGCAUAGGCCUCAGUUGCAGCUCUGAUUCAACAACAACAAAAAAAUACACAAAAAACAAAAACAAAACCUAUUUCUGUCUUGCAUCAAAGAAUUAUAUACUCUAGAAAUUCUUUCAUUAAGAAUUUAUAGGUGAUAUACUCUUUAGAAUUUUUCAUGCUUGAAUUAUUUUAAACUUCAUAUAUGCUUUAGGUAUAGACUUAUUUCUUCUUAAAAAUACUCAAAUAUUCAUUAAAUAUUUUCAUAAAUAUUUUGCAUUUGUAAAAUAUUUUAGAUUUUAUUUUGAUGAAGUCUGAUGCCAAAUUUAUUCCAGUUUAUUUUUAAUAUUCUUUUGUCUGAAAGGGUCCAGAUUUUUUUUUUUGAUAUUAACAAAUCUACACAUUUUUGUAUGUUUGUAUCUAUUUUUCUGCCCAGCACUUCCUGGUCUUUUCCAUCUGCGCACAUUUCCCCCAGUUUUGGAGUAUUAGCCUCUUACUUCUUUACAGAGAACAUUUCUUAUUUUCUCUUUUCUCUUUCACUCUUUUUAGAGGGAUUUAUAAUAUCUGCUUCCAUUUCUUAAUCUCCUUUGUCUUCUUUAUCCCCCCACACUUUUACUUUGUGCUGCAUUCUAGAUAGAUUCUAUGGCUAGAUAUUUUAGGAAAGUAAUAUGCUAUUUAGUGCUUUAAAAAAGUUAAUCCAGCACAACUACCAUUUUAAGAUUGCACUCACCAUUUAAAAUUUCAACUGUCUUUAUAUUUUCUUUCAUAAGCUAUCCUAACUUACUGAUUAUAUUGUCAUACUUCCUUUAAAAUUGCAUUCAUUUUAGUAUCCCACCGGUCACUUAUUUCAACUUUAAAGUUAUGAACACUUAUUUACUAAAAAUCAAAACUUAGGCUCCUGAAAAGGCAAAGUGAAUGCAUUUCUUCCUCUACUCUAGAUAUAAUAUGAAAACAAAAUAAUGAAAACCAGUGCAAGAAAGUUUGAAUGUAGAGUCAGAAUAAGAGGUAUAAAUUGAAACUUUGGGAUUACAAUAUGGGGUUAUAAUAUGUAGGGAUUGGUUUAAUUCUUUUGUCAUGUUAACCUUUUAUGAUGUUUUAUGCAAUUGUAAUUACUUUGGAUUCUUUCUGUGGUACCAAAUGGAACAAAACUUGUAUCUGCUCAUCCAACAUGCAGCAAACCUACUGACACCAGGUUGUGGUGAAGCAACGUACAAUAUUUACUGCAGGGUGUCAAGCAAGGAGAAUGUGCAGCUAGUGCUCAAAAGAACUGAACUCCCCCGCAGUAUUCAGGCCGCCUCAAUGUGGGACACAACCUGAAGAAGCACCUGUCAUCUGGGACAUUAUGGAAUUUUCGUGAAAGAGGGAAGAAUGCAAGAGGGGUAAAUAAAAGCAUGUGAUAUCUCUUGGGGUUUCUGCUCAGAACUAGCACACAUCACUUCAGCCCAAGGGACUUGUGUACGCUCAUUCAGGAACUCAUUAGGAACAUUUCUACCCCAAGUUAUUUCAGGACUCAGUUUUAUCAAAUUCAAUUCCACUGUUACACAUGGUUGAAAAAUUUCUGUCUAUACUAACAGCCUAAUGGCUGACCACUGUGUGUCUGUAAUUUUGAUGCCACAGACUUUAGGUUUUGUUAUGGCAGCAUUCCAUAUCCAGUAUCAAUUCUGUAUUAGCGUGCUUUUGUUAUAAUUAUGCGUAACAUUUAGCUGACAACAUUGACAUUUGCAAUGCCUUGCAUUUCUGUCUUGCUUUAGUGUUUAGCAAUUUGUUGUGAUUCUUCAGAGUUCGGCUGGGCUUAAUCUUUGCUAGACUUGGAUGUCGGAUGCAAGUUGGGUGAAAUAGUGUUUCCCAUGUCUCCUUGCUUUGUAAUGAAGGAGUACAUCUGAUAUGAGACAUAGCCUCAUGGUAGAAGACAGAAAAAAAUAGAGUGGUGAAUGGAAAUACAUCUCUCUGAAAACCCGAGUCUGUUCUGUCCACCCUGUACCAGCCAAAUUACCUGGCCAAGGCAAAAGUCAGUGGGAAAAUUUUGUUUUUUCUGUAUUAAACCAUGGCAUGAGCGAGGACAAAUAAUGAUUAAAUAAUGCAUCCACCUACCUGGUAAACUAGUAUUUAUCUAGUAUUUAUCUUUCAUUUGUAUAUACUUUUCAUUAACCUACUUUAUUUCAGAAAAUA